CAUGGCUCAGGACGAACGCUGGCGGCGUGCUUAACACAUGCAAGUCGAACGGAGCGAAUGAAAGCUUGCUUUUAUGAGCUUAGUGGCAAACGGGUGAGUAACACGUAGACAACCUGCCGAUAGGAUGGGGACAACAUUCCGAAAGGAAUGCUAAUACCGAAUGAAGUGUGGGGGAGGCAUCUCCCGUACAUGAAAGAUGGCCUCUGAAUAUGCUAUCACCUAUCGAUGGGUCUGCGUCUGAUUAGCUGGUAGGUAAGGUAACGGCUUACCUAGGCGACGAUCAGUAGCCGGUCUGAGAGGAUGAACGGCCACAUUGGGACUGAGACACGGCCCAGACUCCUACGG
This 345-nucleotide ribosomal RNA is filed under the name uncultured bacterium. Its description in RNAcentral is "bacterial SSU rRNA". It matches the Rfam family "Bacterial small subunit ribosomal RNA", at positions 18 to 344 of the family's 1533-position model. The record is from RNAcentral.